MicroRNA precursor from Cavia aperea (Brazilian guinea pig), 80 nucleotides. Ensembl annotates it as microRNA 181b-1. The record is from Ensembl. Lineage: Eukaryota; Metazoa; Chordata; Mammalia; Rodentia; Caviidae.
AGGUCACAAUCAACAUUCAUUGCUGUCGGUGGGUUGAAUUGUGUGGACAAGCUCACUGGACAAUGAAUGCAACUGUGGCC